GUGCCAGCAGCCGCGGUAAUACGUAGGGUGCGAGCGUUAAUCGGAAUUACUGGGCGUAAAGCGUGCGCAGGCGGUUUUGUAAGACAGAUGUGAAAUCCCCGGGCUUAACCUGGGAACUGCGUUUGUGACUGCAAGGCUAGAGUACGGCAGAGGGGGGUGGAAUUCCACGUGUAGCAGUGAAAUGCGUAGAGAUGUGGAGGAACACCGAUGGCGAAGGCAGCCCCCUGGGCCUGUACUGACGCUCAUGCAC
This 250-nucleotide ribosomal RNA is filed under the name uncultured bacterium. RNAcentral's name for it is "partial 16S ribosomal RNA". It matches the Rfam family "Bacterial small subunit ribosomal RNA", at positions 505 to 754 of the family's 1533-position model. The record is from RNAcentral.